CCCUUAACUAUUAAAAGUUUCGUUUUGGUCCUUUAACUUACUUUUUGGUUUCGUUUUGGUCCCUUAACUCUUCCUCCGUCAACCACUUUGGUCCUUUAUGUUAGGAUGAAUGUAUUAGAGUUAAGGGACCAAAAUGAAACCAAAAAAUAAGUUAAGAGACCAAAACGAAACCAAAAAAUAAGUUAAGGGACCAAAACAAAACUUUUAAUAGUUAAGGGACCAAAAUAAAACCCAAAAAUAAGUUAUGGGACCGAAACGAAACUUUUAAUAGUUAAGGAA
RNAcentral lists this microRNA precursor (279 nucleotides) under Medicago truncatula (barrel medic). Its description in RNAcentral is "MIR2655 microRNA precursor family". It matches the Rfam family "MIR2655 microRNA precursor family". The record is from Rfam by way of RNAcentral. Lineage: Eukaryota; Viridiplantae; Streptophyta; Magnoliopsida; Fabales; Fabaceae.